GAUUUCCCCUUGGAUUUGUCGCCUGGACGUAUUGGCCUUCCCCGUGACCGAACUCAGACUGCCCCUGGACGACGCCCCCCGGAUUUCCCUGUCGCUCGGCUUCCGACACGCUGUGGAGCAAGGACUCCUAAAGAAGUCAUCUCCCCAUCAGGAGUUGUCGGCCCGUAAGCACGAGCAGCACGUCCCGAAAGCCUCCGCUUCCCUGUUUUUUCAAUAAAAUCGGCUCAAGAGCCA
Long non-coding RNA from Fundulus heteroclitus (mummichog), 234 nucleotides. RefSeq lists it as uncharacterized. Lineage: Eukaryota; Metazoa; Chordata; Actinopteri; Cyprinodontiformes; Fundulidae. The record is from RefSeq and is a predicted model, not a curated record. The transcript has 2 exons.